UACGGAGGGUGCAAGCGUUGUCCGGAAUCACUGGGCGUAAAGGGCGCGUAGGCGGCUCAUGAAGGCUGUGGUGAAAGUCCGGGGCUCAACCCCGAGUCGGCCGUGCGAACUGAGUCGCUUGAGCACUGUAGAGGCAGGCGGAAUUCCGGGUGUAGCGGUGGAAUGCGUAGAGAUCCGGAAGAACACCGGUGGCGAAGGCGGUUAGCUGGGCAGUUGCUGACACUGAGGCGCGACAGCGUGGGGAGCAAACAGG
RNAcentral lists this ribosomal RNA (253 nucleotides) under uncultured bacterium. RNAcentral describes it as "partial 16S ribosomal RNA". It matches the Rfam family "Bacterial small subunit ribosomal RNA", at positions 524 to 776 of the family's 1533-position model. The record is from RNAcentral.